GCCUGGGUGGCUCAGUCGGUUGAGUGGCUGACUUCGGCUCAGGUCAUGAUCUCAUGGUCUGUGAGUUCAAGCCCCACGUCGGGCU
Non-coding RNA from Felis catus (domestic cat), 85 nucleotides. The record is from Rfam. NCBI's taxonomy places the organism in Eukaryota, Metazoa, Chordata, Mammalia, Carnivora, Felidae.